CACGUAGGGGGCAAGCGUUAUCCGGAAUUACUGGGUGUAAAGGGAGCGUAGACGGUAAUGUAAGUCUGGAGUGAAAGGCGGGGGCCCAACCCCCGGACUGCUCUGGAAACUAUGUUACUAGAGUGCAGGAGAGGUAAGCGGAAUUCCUAGUGUAGCGGUGAAAUGCGUAGAUAUUAGGAGGAACACCAGUGGCGAAGGCGGCUUACUGGACUGUAACUGACGUUGGGGCUCGAAAGCGUGGGGAGCAAACAGG
Molecule: ribosomal RNA, 253 nt
Filed under: uncultured bacterium
Lineage: Bacteria
Description: partial 16S ribosomal RNA
Rfam family: Bacterial small subunit ribosomal RNA
Source: RNAcentral